AACGAACGCUGGCGGCAUGCCUAACACAUGCAAGUCGAACGACACCUUAGUGACUAGUGGCGCUUGGGUGCGUAACGCGUGGGAACCUGCCCGUAGGUUUGGAAUAAUUCUUCUAAAGGGGUGCUAACCCCGGAUAAUAUCUUCGGACAACAGUUUUAUCGCCUUUGGAAGGGCCCGCGAUGGAUUAGCAAGGUUGUAGGGUAAAAGCCGAUUUAAGCGACGGUCGAUAGAUGGUCUGAGAGAAUGAUCAGCCACUCUUGGGCUGAGACACAGCCCGGACUACUACGGGAGGCAGCAGAGGGGAAUAUAGUACUAUCGGCUGAAGCCAGAUCCAUCAAGGCCUCUAGAGUGAUGAAGUCCUUAAGGAUGUGAAGCACUUUAACGCGGGGUUGUAAUGACAGUACCGGAAGAAUAAGCACCGGCUAACUCCGUG
Molecule: ribosomal RNA, 433 nt
Filed under: uncultured bacterium
Lineage: Bacteria
Description: partial 16S ribosomal RNA
Rfam family: Bacterial small subunit ribosomal RNA
Source: RNAcentral